This is a long non-coding RNA of Salvia miltiorrhiza (redroot sage), 1473 nucleotides long. RefSeq lists it as uncharacterized. The transcript has 7 exons. Lineage: Eukaryota; Viridiplantae; Streptophyta; Magnoliopsida; Lamiales; Lamiaceae. The record is from RefSeq and is a predicted model, not a curated record.
UGGAUACGACAUUGCAUAUACUACACUGGAUUUUGUAAAAGUCUGUUAUCUUAUAUAUAUUGUCUGUUGUCUUAAGUUUGUCUGUAGUCUUUUAGCAUAAAAAUAUGCUAAUAGACACCAGACUUACGUGUCUGUUGUUAUAGAUGAGAUGUUAAAAACAAUUUUUAACACUGAUCCUAAUUGUCCAUAUUCAUAUGUAUGAUGUUAUUUAAAAAAAACAAAUGUUUUAUCAAAAAAAAAAAAUCAGUAACUUUUGACCGAGUCUUAGCAAAAAAAUAGAUGUAUUUUACCCCAAGUAAACAACUAAUUUCAAUAAAAAAAUAUGAAAAAUAAUUAUUAAAAAAACUCACAUUGAAAUCAAAGUAAAUUAGUCAAACAUUAGUAAAAUAGUUUUCCCUAAGCUAAAUUACCCCUUUUCGUAAAUCAAUUGUGAAAAUUUCUUAACUUCCGCCGCUGGAGUGGUUGUCACGCCGCACGGCUGCCGGUUAAUCUUGUUCCCGCCGCCGCGUCUCGUUUGCCCGCCCUUCUCCCUUGACGCUAGUCGCUCGGGCGUCGAGAAUCGUUGCCUUUCCCUCAAUAUCUGCCAUAAUUUUCCUCGCCGCGACGUCAACGUGCCUUCCUUACGAAGUCGCCGUCUCUGCCGCCACAGUGCCCUUCUACCGCCGCCGUCGAUAUUCUUUGAAGUAUUGGUAUAUACUGUGAUGCAGAAACUGCGAAUGAGAAUAUGGAAUUUAGAGCAUGAGAAUUGUCAAAAAGGUUGAUUGAUACAAAAAUCAAUCAAAUUUUCUUAGCUCCGUGUAAUGUGGAAUAUCAUUGGAUUCUUACGGUGAUUGACCCUAAUAAGGGAGAGAUUGCUAUCUUGGAUUCCCUAUACAAAGGAAUUCAUGAUAAAAUUUGGAAAGAAGUCGUGGAAUUGGCCUUAAGGUUGUUCAAUAUGGAGAAGAGAAAGAAUGGAAAGAAGAAGCCUGAUUGGACAAUACUGAAGGUUCCGAAACAACCGGACUUGACUCAAUGUGGUUUCUAUGUGAUGAAGUACAUGAGAGAGAUAGUGAUAAAUAGUCAUCCUUGGACGAUUGGUUCUCUACAAUCUUUGUUCAAUGCUCAUGAAAAGUAUUCAAAUGAAGAGAUAGAUGUAGUGCGAUCAGAGUGGGCAGAUUGUGUUCAAGAAUAUAUAAAGGAGUAAAAGGAUAUGUAGUGGUGAUGGCAAAGAAGACAAUAUUGGACGUAUUGGUUGAUGCAUCACAUUUUGAAGGAACGAAGGAGCAACAAGUGUUAACUCAUUUGAAUGCUAAGAUUCCAUUUAUUUGGUAGUGGAUCCACAAAUCAUGUUUACUCAUUUUAGUUAUAUAUAGUUUUUGUUAGAAUUUAGCUUAAGUGUUAGUAUUUUGUAAUGGAAUAUGGUAGAAUUGAUUUGGACGAAUCUUAAUUGUAAUGAAUAUUGAAAUUUUAUAAUGAUUAUAUUAUAAAUGAAAA